CAGCCGCCGCGGUAAUACGGAUGAUCCAAGCGUUAUCCGGAAUCAUUGGGUUUAAAGGGUCCGUAGGCGGUCUUGUAAGUCAGUGGUGAAAGCCCAUCGCUCAACGGUGGAACGGCCAUUGAUACUGCAGGACUUGAAUUAUUGGGAAGUAACUAGAAUAUGUAGUGUAGCGGUGAAAUGCUUAGAGAUUACAUGGAAUACCAAUUGCGAAGGCAGGUUACUACCAAUUGAUUGACGCUGAUGGACGAAAGCGUGGGUAGCGAACAGGAUUAGAUACCCGUGUAGUCCCUGUCUCUUAUAA
This 301-nucleotide ribosomal RNA is filed under the name uncultured bacterium. RNAcentral describes it as "partial 16S ribosomal RNA". It matches the Rfam family "Bacterial small subunit ribosomal RNA", at positions 509 to 809 of the family's 1533-position model. The record is from RNAcentral.